UAAAAAAAAUCCGUUUUAAAACGAUUAUAUAUAUUUUUUAAUGCCACAUGGAUUUCUUUUAUUAUGAUUAUUACUAAUUUAUUGUAUGCUGUUUACAAACUUGUCUAAUUAAUUUUUCAUGCUAAUAAAUAUACCACAUGUAUAUCUUUUUUUUUUUUUAAUUUACAAAAGUAUAAUGAAACAAUAUAUUUUAUUAACACUUAAGUAAAUAAAGAGAACCCACAUAUGUGUAAGUAUAGAAAUAUACACAUAUAUAAACAAUUAUAUGUACAUAUACACACAUAUGUAUAUAUAUAUAUAUAUAUAUAUAUAUAUAUAUAUAUAUAUAUAUGCGUAUGUAUUAUAUUUACAUAUUUCAUAAAUUUAUGUUUUAACACGCGCACAUAAAAAAAAUAAAAAAUAAGAAAAUGGAUUUGUGGAAUAAAGAUUAUGAAAAAGCAAUUGAAACAGGGAAACGAAUUAAAAAAUUGUUAAAACAAAAGGAAAAGGGAAAGGAUAAAACAAAAAAUAGAGCAAUGCUAAGAGGUGAAAUAACUGAGUUUAAUCAAAAUGUUAAAUUUUUAUAUCAUCAAUUAGAUAAUGACUAUAUAAAAAAUGAUAAAAAUUAUAUAAAAAACGAAUCUAAAUAUAAAUCUAAAUUAUCCAGUUUGGAUAAAAUUAAAGCCGAGAUAGCGAAGUUAUAUGAAGCUUACGUUACAACUAAUACUGACAGUGAUUCGUUUAACAUUAACAUGAAUUUUUUAAACGAUUACGGUAAUGAAAAUAACACACAUUUAAAUGAAUUAAAUAAAGAAGCAUUUAUGAUGAAACAAGAGAAUUUAAUGAAAUUGCAAGAUGAACAAUUAACAUUUCUUGAAGGUACUACACACAAUUUAAAAAAUAUUAGCUAUAAUAUCAAUAGUGAAUUACAGAUACAUAAUGAGUUGUUAGACGAUAUAGAUAGAGAUGUUGAUGAAACAAAUAACUUAUUAAGUAGAAAUAGAAAUAUUUUUCAUAGAGUUACAAAUACUAGUAGUAAUUUAUAUUUAUAUUUUUUAAUUAUUUUAUUAACAAUUACACUAUUUUUGCUUAUUAUAAUACUUUAAUUUUGCACAUUGAGAUGGAAAAGUAAAAUUAUGAGUUCCUAAUACUAAUCGAAAUGGGUAUAUAUUUUUAAUGUAUUCUUAUUAUAUGGAGGAUAAGCAAAAAUAAAAUUUUAAACUUUUUACUACUUUUUUUUUUU
RNAcentral lists this long non-coding RNA (1222 nucleotides) under Piliocolobus tephrosceles (Ugandan red Colobus). RNAcentral describes it as "lncRNA (ENSPTEG00000013809.1)". Lineage: Eukaryota; Metazoa; Chordata; Mammalia; Primates; Cercopithecidae. The record is from RNAcentral.